Molecule: long non-coding RNA, 456 nt
Organism: Rosa rugosa (rugosa rose)
Lineage: Eukaryota; Viridiplantae; Streptophyta; Magnoliopsida; Rosales; Rosaceae
Exons: 3
Source: RefSeq, a predicted model, not a curated record
UGAUUUUUUGGCACAACGUAGCUACAGACCCAAUUCGUCUCACACUUAAGAAAUUUUCACUGAUACAUUUUUCGAAACAGAAACCAAAACUCGAUACUUAGCUCGCUCUCUCAAACCAUGAACUCUUCUCUCUUCUUCGCAGCACACAGCAUAAUUUCUCUCUUCUGAGUCUCAAACCAAAAUCAUCGAACUCAAAUUCCAGGUCCUAAUCCAGCAUCAAUCUCUUCUAAUCCAAUAUCGAACUGAAAACCCAGAAAAAUCUCGCCCAUCUUGCCUUGCAAACAUAGAAAACCUCAUUCUAGCCAAAGCAUCUCAGUCUCAAUCCGUAUCGUGGUCUCAGUCUCAAUCCAUAUCAUGUUGCUGGCGGCGGUGCAGGGGGUUUAGACAGAGGCGCUCUCCCUCUCCCCUUGAAGGUCGACGGCGCUCGCUCUCGUCGACAGAUCUAAAUUUUGAAGG